UACGGAGGAGGCAAGCGUUAUCCGGAAUUAUUGGGCGUAAAGCGUCCGUAGGAGGUGAUUCAAGUCAGCGGUUAAAGCGCGGGGCUUAACUUCAUACAGGCCGUUGAAACUGGAUUGCUAGAGUGCGGUAGGGGUCGAGGGAAUUCCCAGUGUAGCGGUGAAAUGCGUAGAUAUUGGGAAGAACACCGGUGGCGAAAGCGCUCGGCUGGGCCUGCACUGACACUGAGGGACGAAAGCUAGGGGAGCGAAAGGG
This 253-nucleotide ribosomal RNA is filed under the name uncultured bacterium. RNAcentral's name for it is "partial 16S ribosomal RNA". It matches the Rfam family "Bacterial small subunit ribosomal RNA", at positions 524 to 776 of the family's 1533-position model. The record is from RNAcentral.